This 253-nucleotide ribosomal RNA is filed under the name uncultured bacterium. RNAcentral's name for it is "partial 16S ribosomal RNA". It matches the Rfam family "Bacterial small subunit ribosomal RNA", at positions 524 to 776 of the family's 1533-position model. The record is from RNAcentral.
UACGGAGGAUUCGAGCGUUGUCCGGAUUUAUUGGGUUUAAAGGGUGCGUAGGCGGAUUUUUAAGUCAGUGGUGAAAGCCUGCAGCUCAACUGUAGAAUUGCCAUUGAAACUGAAAAUCUUGAAUUUGGUUAAAGUAGGCGGAAUGUAUCAUGUAGCGGUGAAAUGCUUAGAUAUGAUACAGAACACCGAUAGCGAAGGCAGCUUGCUGAACCAAUAUUGACGCUGAGGCACGAAAGCGUGGGGAGCAAACAGG